ACUUGAAGUAGUGAGUCAGUUUCUUGCCCCACUAAGUGCUAAAUUAUUUAGCGCUACUGAAACAGCCCCAACAGGAGAUUUGUCUCCUUAAACCAAAAGGUCUGAGUUGUAUGUGCAGCACUUGGGUUUCAAGCUCCUGCUUUGAAUUCCUGAAACAGCAUUCUGGUAGUGCUGCUGCCCCUGGGCUGUUAGCAGGCUAGCUUUCUGCAUUUUCCCACUGAAUUUUGUAUACAGGUGAGGCAUUAGAAUUAGAUUUCCAAUUCCCAAAAGUUUUUCAGGAAACAUAAUUCUCCUGCUCCACCAGCCCUGUCUUCCAGGUUGUUAUGGCUAACAGAGACCAUUCCAUUCUCAAGGCUGAUAUAAGACAACAGAGGGGAGAAACAUAUAGCCAGCAUAGGCUGUACGGAUGUGACUUCCCCAUUGGGAACUUGAGGUGGGAAUAAAGUCUGGUAUAAAGUGUAUCUUUAUUAAACUUCUGUACAUUCUUGCUUUCCUAAAUGUGACUUGCUUGUCACCUGACGUGACUGAAUAUGUCCUGAUCAUCAACAUCCCUGAGGAAACCAACCAGCCAUCAGAUUGGGAUGCCUGAAGAUGUCUUCUAGGACUUUUGGAUGGGAGUAACUAAGGGGCUGGAGUUACCAUCCAGGAAGAGACUGAAGCAGUCAGUGCCAGAUGCUUCAGUUCUGGUGCCAGCUAAUGCACGCCAUAAUGGAAGCCAAAAUCAGGAAUGUUUACAACCAGGGAUCACACAACUGCAUUGAUGGGUUAGACGACGAUAUGGGAGGUACACGCCACAGGCCACCCUAUGGUUUUACCUGCGGGAUCACGGAGAAGACAUGAGAAAGUGGGAUGGAAAACCUACUUCAGCUCUGGAGCAACGGGUGCGUGAGCUGAAGAGGAGAACAAUGGUCAAGGAUGAUCCU
Molecule: long non-coding RNA, 923 nt
Organism: Strigops habroptila (Kakapo)
Lineage: Eukaryota; Metazoa; Chordata; Aves; Psittaciformes; Psittacidae
Source: Ensembl